CACAAGCGGUGGAUGAUGUGGACUAAUUCGAUGCAACGCGAAAACCUUACCUACCCUUGACAUGUCCGGAAUCCUGCAGAGGUGCGGGAGUGCCCGAAAGGGAAUCGGAACACAGGUGCUGCAUGGCUGUCGUCAGCUCGUGUCGUGAGAUGUUGGGUUAAGUCCCGCAACGAGCGCAACCCUUAUCAUUAGUUGCUACGCAAGGGCACUCUAAUGAGACUGCCGGUGACAAACCGGAGGAAGGUGGGGAUGACGUCAAGUCCUCAUGGCCCUUAUGGGUAGGGCUUCACACGUCAUACAAUGGAUGGUACAAAGGGUCGCCAACCCGCGAGGGGGAGCCAAUCCCAUAAAGCCAUUCGUAGUCCGGAUCGCAGUCUGCAACUCGACUGCGUGAAGUCGGAAUCGCUAGUAAUCGUGGAUCAGAAUGUCACGGUGAAUACGUUCCCGGGUCUU
RNAcentral lists this ribosomal RNA (453 nucleotides) under uncultured Thiobacillus sp. Its description in RNAcentral is "bacterial SSU rRNA". It matches the Rfam family "Bacterial small subunit ribosomal RNA", at positions 924 to 1382 of the family's 1533-position model. Lineage: Bacteria; Pseudomonadati; Pseudomonadota; Betaproteobacteria; Nitrosomonadales; Thiobacillaceae. The record is from RNAcentral.